Humulus lupulus (European hop) is the source of this 591-nucleotide long non-coding RNA. RefSeq lists it as uncharacterized. The record is from RefSeq and is a predicted model, not a curated record. NCBI's taxonomy places the organism in Eukaryota, Viridiplantae, Streptophyta, Magnoliopsida, Rosales, Cannabaceae. The transcript is spliced from 4 exons.
CAAAAGUGUUUGGUGUUAUUGGAAAGCCAGUUGGCCAAAGCAAAUCACCAAUUUUGUAUAAUGAGGCCUUCAAGUCAGUUGGUUUUAAUGGAGUUUAUCUGCAUUUGUUGGUAGAUGACAUUGCAAAUUUUCUCCAAACUUACUUGUCUGCAGAUUUUGCGGGAUUCAGUGUCACCAUUCCUCACAAGGAAGCUGCACUCACGUGCUGUGAUGAGGUUGAUCCAGUUGCCAAGUCAAUAGGAGCUGUUAAUUGCAUUAUAAGGAGACAAAGUGAUGGGAAGUUAUUGGGAUUCAAUCCUUCUCCUCGACCGGGCGAAAAGGGAUGAUGAUCGGUGCCGAUCCAAGUAUGGAAAAUACUGGAAAUCGUACUGCGAGAAGGUUCGGUACAGGGUCAUCCCCGGAAUUUACUGAGAAAAUGUUGCACAAGUGUUUGUUCUAUGUUGAGAAUGGCAUGUAUAUUCAUCCUUUCCAAAUUAAAUGAUGGCAGGCUGGUAUCAUGUUGUUGUUAUUGUUGUUUUUGUAAUGGUCAACUUUAUGGAUGUUGUAUUUCUCUCAUCUUCAAUGACCAAAAACUUUUCUUGUUUAGGAAAA